AUUGAACGCUGGCGGCAUGCUUUACACAUGCAAGUCGAACGGUAACAGGCCUUCGGGUGCUGACGAGUGGCGAACGGGUGAGUAAUGCAUCGGAACGUACCCAGAGGUGGGGGAUAACGCAGCGAAAGCUGUGCUAAUACCGCAUGUGAUCUGAGGAUGAAAGCGGGGGACCGAGCAGCAAUGUUUGGCCUCGCGCCUUUGGAGCGGCCGAUGUCGGAUUAGCUAGUUGGUGGGGUAAAGGCCUACCAAGGCGACGAUCCGUAGCUGGUCUGAGAGGACGACCAGCCACACUGGGACUGAGACACGGCCCAGACUCCUACGGGAGGCAGCAGUGGGGAAUUUUGGACAAUGGGCGCAAGCCUGAUCCAGCAAUGCCGCGUGCGGGAAGAAGGCCUUCGGGUUGUAAACCGCUUUUGGCAGGAACGAAACGGUGUCCGCUAAUACCGGGCGCUAAUGACGGUACCUGCAGAAUAAGCACCGGCUAACUACCUG
This 492-nucleotide ribosomal RNA is filed under the name uncultured bacterium. RNAcentral's name for it is "partial 16S ribosomal RNA". It matches the Rfam family "Bacterial small subunit ribosomal RNA", at positions 29 to 507 of the family's 1533-position model. The record is from RNAcentral.